CAGUAGCCGCGGGAAUACGGAGGGUGCAAGCGUUAAUCGGAAUUACUGGGCGUAAAGCGCACGCAGGCGGUCUGACAAGUCAGAUGUGAAAUCCCCGGGCUUAACCUGGGAACUGCAUUUGAAACUGUCAGGCUGGAGUCUUGUAGAGGGGGGUGGAAUUCCAGGUGUAGCGGUGAAAUGCGUAGAGAUCUGGAGGAAUACCGGUGGCGAAGGCGGCCCCCUGGACAAAGACUGACGCUCAGGUGCGAAAGCGUGGGGAGCAAACAGGAUUAGAUACCCGCGUAGUCCCUGUCUCUUAUAA
RNAcentral lists this ribosomal RNA (301 nucleotides) under uncultured bacterium. RNAcentral describes it as "partial 16S ribosomal RNA". It matches the Rfam family "Bacterial small subunit ribosomal RNA", at positions 509 to 809 of the family's 1533-position model. The record is from RNAcentral.